CUCGCGCGCAUCAACAGCGCGAGCCUCCUGCAGACAUAGCAAGAAAGAUGGCGGCCGGUUCAGGGGCUGCAAGCGGACACGGAGCCCGCGGCUCCAACGCUGGCCUGGAAGCGUCUUUAGACCGACGGUUUCAAGGAGUAUCCAACACCAUGGAGUCGAUACAGGGACUAUCCAACUGGUGCAUUGAAAACAAAAAGCACCACGGCCUCGUCGUGCGCCACUGGAUGAAGUGGCUAAAAAAAUCUGAUAACAAUCACCGCUUGAAUCUCUUUUACCUGGCUAACGAUGUGAUACAGAACUGCAAGAGAAAGAAUGCCAUUGUCUUUCGCUCAGCCUUUGCAGAAGUCCUUCCUAAUGCGGCCCAGUUUAUCAGAGACGGGAAAGUCCGCAAGGCAGUGGAAAGGAUUUUUACAAUUUGGGAGGAGAGGAGCGUGUACCCCGAAGAGGUCAUUGCUCAGUUUAAAGCUGGCUUCAACAAAAAGGAAAAGGAGAGAGAGAAGCAGAAGCUGAAGCAGAAGGAGAGGGAGAAAGAGAAGGAGAAGGAGAAGGAACGGGAGAAGGAGAAGGAGAAGGAACGGGAGAAGGAAAAGGAGAAAGAAAAGGAGACUCCACCGGCAACUGCCCCAGCCAACACUAAAGCUGCCCUGAAGUCCAAGAUUGUAGCAGAGUUCACACCCCACUCCCUCAUCGAGCAGUUGUCGAGAUAUAAGCGAGCAGUCGCAGAAGAGGAGUUCAGGGAGAAGCAGCUGGCCGCUCUCAGAGUCGAUGUCUGCAGCACGGAGGCUCUGAAGAGACUUAAAGACAAGGCCGGAGGGAACAAGUUUGCGAAGGACUUUGAGGAUGGCAGUCUGAAGCUGCAGGAGUUUGUCGUCUUCAUGGAGAAAGAGUUGAAGACGGGGCCUCCUCUGCUGGAAGCUUUGGGAAACGCUGACAUCUUCUACGAGAUGCAGUACAAGGAGGUUAAAAUUGUGGCCAAUGCGUACAAUGCCUUUGCCAACCGUGUGGCCAGCCUUAAAAGGAAAUUGGAUUCCCUCAAGUCGACUCUACCUGGACCUGAGGACUCUCCCAUCCCCUCACCCUCCGAAGACGCCCCCUCUCCCACCGGCUCUGACUCACCCUACUUGGGACUAGGCUUGAGCAGAGCCCAGGUGGAUCCAGAGCUGGAUGGCAAGGCUAUGGAUGAAGGAGAUAUGCCCAGUGACAACAGACACAUGGAGGACAUGGAUAUGUCUGAUGAAGAGGCUGGCGCUGCCACCGAGCAGCAGGAUGACAAGAAGGACAAGACGGACACUGCUGUUGCCAAGUCAGUUGCAGCAUCAACGGUUCCCACCACACCUACGAAGGCUUCUAAGAUCAACGCCACUGCUGCUGCCACGGCGACGGCGGUGACCCCCACCCCUGCUCCAGCUCAAAGCGCCCCAAUAACCCCAAUGGGAAUGAAUCUGGAGAAGGUUGACCUGGGAAAGAUCAGCUCCAUUCUCAGCUCACUCACAUCUGCCAUGAAGAAUACAGCAGCUAGCCCAUCACCUCGGCCGUCUCCAGGAACACCCACCACUCCUUCUGGCCAAGCAGCAGCCUCCAAAGCAACAUCUUCGAGCCCUCACUUGGCCAACUUCCUGUCACGUGUUGAUAUCACACCUGAAGGCAUCCUUAAUGCUCUGUCGAAAACAAAGACACCAGUUUUGUCCUCUCUCCUGCAAAGUGUGACAAACGCCACCUCUGCUCCUCCCACCCGAACCUCCCCAGAAUCCUCAGCAGUUAAAACCCUGCUCACCCCAACCACCCCAAAAACAAAACCCACUCUGGGGAACAGCCUCAAACGAGACACACCUGGGAGAACCAGAGACUGGGAGAAAGGGAGACGGCUGUCCCCUCCUCCUCCACCACCCCCUCCUCGCCUCUCAGCUCCUUCUGUUUCUCCCCCCAGCCUAGAAUCAAAAAUCAACAGCUUUUUGCAGGGUAAUCCAGGUUUUAGUCUCGCUCUGGGUGAUGUCAGUCCCGAGGGGGUGGAUGGGACCCCAGUGAGAGACGAAGCUGCUGGCACCCCUACCCAGGACGAGAUCAUGGACACACCCGGGAGUGUGCCAGAAUCUUUAGGGUCAUCUGGAGGUCAUAACCUCUCACCAACAGCCUACCGCAGCGAACCCUGGGAUGCUGUGAUCACCCCAUCAGGAAGCAGCAGCAAUGGAGACUUGCCGAGCUCUUCCUCCUCUUCACGGCAUGGAGCUGGAAAAAAGAGUGGCACAAAAUUAAAGGAAGAUGAAGUGAUGAAUUUGAGGAAGCAGGUAUCCUCUUCCCCCAGUAACGACAUGAAGGGUAAGAAAGAUGGACAACAUGGCCAAUUAAGAAUGAUGGGAAACAACAGAGGGAUUGGAGAAAGAAGACAGUCUGCAGGAUCUCGUAAAGCCAGCAGUGGCUCAGAUGAUGGAGGUCUGAGUGGAAAAAGAGAGGGGAAAGCGGAACAGUCUCCAGGUGGGGAUGGGAGGGAGGGACAGUACCAUCGUAUUGAGACACUAGUGUCUCCUUACACUGAAGGGGCACCCAUCCAAACUCUAGGCUACUCAAACCGCCCCCUCGCUGGAGAGCGCAUCAAGACAGUAGAGGGCAUCCGUGUGAUUGGCCGAGAUUCUCGGGGAGGGGGAGGGGCUAGUGGUCGGCCAGGGGGAGCAAUGUGGUAUGAAGAGGAGGAAUACAUGGAAGCUCAGCCUCCUUCAAACCAUGCGAUCCGCUCUCCUCUUAACAUUGGCAAUGAGGACAUGACCCCCUCUAUGCCUCUGCCUCCCCCACAUCUCCUUCUCCCACAUCUCCACCCUCCUCCAUCCCAUCCUCACGCACAUCCUCCACCCCAAGCUCCCUUCCAAAUGCCCUACCACACGGAUAACAUCCAGGGUCCUCCCCCAUCACUCCUCCACCAGCAUCCUCCUCCAUCCCAUUUCUUUGGCCCCCCUCCACCAAUCCCUCGACCCCCUCCACCUCCCGUACCCCAGCGCCCUUCCCCUCCACCCACCCACCAUGCUGUGCCCUCAGCUGUCAUGGUUGGGGGAGUGUUGGUCCCUGUUGACCGCCCCCUUCCUCUUUCUCUCUCAGUCAGAUCUGACGGUGUAGAUCGCAGUGGAUUAGGGCCCAGAGGAAGCAAAAUGGGUCCUCCACCCCUCAUGGCAUCGUUGUUAGGCGAGCCCCCUAAGCUGCCCCGCUCUGGCACAGUCAAAGAGCCGUUUGUCCCCCGUCAUGCACCCCCUCUUCACCGCCCAGGUACCCCUGGUGUUCCCCUCCCCUUACUGGGCAGAGUGAAGGAGCCUCUGAAUCUACCUCUUCCGCCCCACUCUCCUACAUCCUCCACACCCUCUCCCUCCACGCCUAAUUCCCCCGCAGUCGACACUCUCCCUGCUCGCCUCCCGGCUCAGUCCGCUUCUCUCCAGAAGCCCCCCGCUAGUCCUCCUGCUCAGACCCGCAACCAAACCUCUAACCCCGUUCCCCUCCUGAACUUACCCAGUUCUCGACCCCUCAUGCUCUCAGGCCCCAUCGCACAGAGACCUCUGCUGCGGGGCCGAACCCCCUCUCGGCAGUUUAACCAAGAUCGCCCCAUGGGGGGAUUCCGAGGGGGCAAGCGGUCCGGUCCUCCUUUCACAGGUGGUCCCUUCCAUUCACAGAAGAGACCCUUCCUACCCCCACGCUACUGAAGUGGUCAUCUAACCCAUGCGGAGUGAGAAGUGCAAGCGCCCUGCACUGAAGUGCAGAGUGUGUGUUAGCCCUGCUGGUGUGCCCAGCUUUAUCUGAGCGAGUGCAAAUCUUUGAGAACCUCAGGGAUAAACAAGGCCACAAGAGGAGAGUUGAAGCUACAGAAACUCGGCUCAGCAUCCAGCUGG
This is an RNA transcript of Cyclopterus lumpus (lumpfish), 3866 nucleotides long. It is a transcript of the gene named threonine--tRNA ligase 1, cytoplasmic-like, with no coding region annotated. The transcript is spliced from 11 exons. Lineage: Eukaryota; Metazoa; Chordata; Actinopteri; Perciformes; Cyclopteridae. The record is from RefSeq and is a predicted model, not a curated record.